GAGAAUAUCGCCCUCACGGGUGACUCUCCAACCCAAUGUUAUUCUAUCUUUGUUGCUUUGGCGAGCCGCCUUGGCCACCGGCUCACGCUGGUGAGUGCUCGCCAGAGGACCCAAAACUCUGAAUUAAAGUAUUGUCCGAGUACUAUAUAAUAGUUAAAACUUUCAACAACGGAUCUCUUGGUUCU
RNAcentral lists this unclassified non-coding RNA (185 nucleotides) under rhizosphere metagenome. RNAcentral describes it as "partial ribosomal RNA internal transcribed spacer region". The record is from RNAcentral.